AACUACGUGCCAGCAGCCGCGGUAAGACGUAGGACGCAAGCGUUAUCCGGAUUUACUGGGCGUAAAGCGCCUGUAGGCGGUCAAGUAAGUCGGAUGUGAAAGCCCCGUGCUCAACGCGGGGAAGCCAUUCGAUACUGCGUGACUAGAGAACGGCAGAGGGAAACGGAAUUUCUGGUGUAGCGGUAAAAUGCGCAGAGAUCAGAAAGAACACCGAUGGCGAAGGCAGUUUCCUAGGCCGCAUCUGACGCUGAGAGGCGAAAGCUAGGGGAGCAAACAGGAUUAGAGACCCUGGUAGUCCUAGCUGUAAACGAUGGAUGCUAGGUGUGGGCCGGAAAGGUCCGUGCCGUAGUUAACGCGAUAAGCAUCCCGCCUGGGGAGUACGGCCGCAAGGCUAAAACUCAAACGAAUUGACGGGGACCCGCACAAGCAGCGGAGCGUGUGGUUUAAUUCGAUGCUACACACAGAACCUUACCUGGGCUUGACAUGUAGGUGGUAGUGAAGUGAAAGCGGAGCGACCCUUCGGGGAGCCUACACAGGUGCUGCAUGGCUGUCGUCAGCUCGUGCCGUGAGGUGUCGGGUUAAGUCCCGUAACGAGCGCAACCCUUGUCCUUAGUUACAAGUGUCUAAGGAGACUGCCGGUGACAAACCGGAGGAAGGUGGGGAUGACGUCAAGUCAGCAUGGCCCUUAUGUCCAGGGCGACACACACGCCACAAUGGUCGGUACAAUGGGCAGCGCAGCCGCGAGGUGAAGCGAAUCCCAACAAAGCCGAUCCCAGUUCGGAUCGCAGGCUGCAACCCCCC
Molecule: ribosomal RNA, 801 nt
Filed under: uncultured organism
Description: bacterial SSU rRNA
Rfam family: Bacterial small subunit ribosomal RNA
Source: RNAcentral